This 24-nucleotide non-coding RNA is filed under the name Arabidopsis thaliana (thale cress). The record is from RNAcentral. Lineage: Eukaryota; Viridiplantae; Streptophyta; Magnoliopsida; Brassicales; Brassicaceae.
UCACACUGUUUGAUUCCUCUGAAU